AGAGUUUGAUCAUGGCUCAGGAUGAACGCUGGCGGUCUGCUUAACACAUGCAAGUCGAACGGAGUAGAAAUACUUAGUGGCGGACGGGUGAGUAACACGUGGGCAACCUGCCCUCAGCUCUGGGAUAACUCCAAGAAAUUGGUGCUAAUACCGGAUGUGACUGCUGACCGCAUGGUCUGGUGGUGGAAAGAUUUAUCGGCUGAGGAUGGGCCCGCGGCCUAUCAGCUUGUUGGUGGGGUGAUGGCCUACCAAGGCGACGACGGGUAGCCGGCCUGAGAGGGUGACCGGCCACACUGGGACUGAGACACGGCCCAGACUCCUACGGGAGGCAGCAGUGGGGAAUAUUGGACAAUGGGCGAAAGCCUGAUCCAGCAACGCCGCGUGAGGGAUGACGGCCUUCGGGUUGUAAACCUCUUUCGACCGGGACGAAGCGCAAGUGACGGUACCGGUAGAAGAAGCACCGGCCAACUACGUGCCAGCAGCCGCGGUAAUACGUAGGGUGCGAGCGUUGUCCGGAAUUAUUGGGCGUAAAGAGCUCGUAGGCGGUGUGUCGCGUCGGUCGUGAAAACUUGGGGCUUAACCCUGAGCUUGCGGUCGAUACGGGCAUCACUGGAGUUCGGCAGGGGAGACUGGAAUUCCUGGUGUAGCGGUGAAAUGCGCAGAUAUCAGGAGGAACACCGGUGGCGAAGGCGGGUCUCUGGGCCGAUACUGACGCUGAGGAGCGAAAGCGUGGGGAGCGAACAGGAUUAGAUACCCCCGUAGUCC
Molecule: ribosomal RNA, 765 nt
Filed under: uncultured Pseudonocardia sp.
Lineage: Bacteria; Bacillati; Actinomycetota; Actinomycetes; Pseudonocardiales; Pseudonocardiaceae
Description: bacterial SSU rRNA
Rfam family: Bacterial small subunit ribosomal RNA
Source: RNAcentral